UGGGGAAUUUUGGACAAUGGGCGAAAGCCUGAUCCAGCAAUGCCGCGUGUGUGAAGAAGGCCUUCGGGUUGUAAAGCACUUUUGUCCGGAAAGAAAUCCUUGGCUCUAAUACAGUCGGGGGAUGACGGUACCGGAAGAAUAAGCACCGGCUAACUACGUGCCAGCAGCCGCGGUAAUACGUAGGGUGCAAGCGUUAAUCGGAAUUACUGGGCGUAAAGCGUGCGCAGGCGGUUUGCUAAGACCGAUGUGAAAUCCCCGGGCUCAACCUGGGAACUGCAUUGGUGACUGGCAGGCUAGAGUAUGGCAGAGGGGGGUAGAAUUCCACGUGUAGCAGUGAAAUGCGUAGAGAUGUGGAGGAAUACCGAUGGCGAAGGCAGCCCCCUGGGCCAAUACUGACGCUCAUGCACGAAAGCGUGGGGAGCAAACAGGAUUAGAUACCCUGGUAGUCCACGCCCUAAACGAUGUCAACUAGUUGUUGGGAUUCAUUCCUUAGUAACGUAGCUAACGCGUGAAGUUGACCGCCUGGGGAGUACGGUCGCAAGAUUAAAACUUAAUGAAUUGACGGGGUCAUAGCUGUUUCCU
This 582-nucleotide ribosomal RNA is filed under the name uncultured bacterium. RNAcentral's name for it is "partial 16S ribosomal RNA". It matches the Rfam family "Bacterial small subunit ribosomal RNA", at positions 355 to 1375 of the family's 1533-position model. The record is from RNAcentral.